CUCAGGAGAAGGGCCGAGGGGCGGGAAAGACAUUGAAAGUUAGUGCUGCUUACUUUACUUGGAAGCUUCCAGAGGACGAGGAAAAGAAAGAAUUGGGCAGAAAGAUAGGAAUUUGGAAAAAGAUCUCAGCUGGAUUGGGAUCUGAGACUCCUACUCCUGCUUGAUCAAUGAGAAUCUCUACUCCCAAUCAAAAGUCUGGCCUACUUGAAUAAAAUGCAGCUAAAAGUCAAAAUACCAGCCAUAGAGGAAGCCAGCCCCUUUCAAGGAAGGGGAUUUUGCAAGACAACUGGCUUUUCUAAUGUUUUAAAGCAGCACAGCUUACUUCCAUUUCUGAAAUUCCUUAACUUGCUUAAAUGAUAUACCUUCUGAAUUCAAUUCUCCCUGUGCAACAAGAAAACUGUUUGGUUCUGCACACGUAUAUUGUAUCCAGGAUAUACUGUAACCUAUUCAACAUGUAAAGGAUUGCUUGCCAUCUGGGGGAGGGGGUGGAGGGAGGGAGGGGAAAAAUCGGAACAGAAGUGAAUGCAAGGAAUAAUGUUGUAAAAAAUUACCCUGGCAUGAGUUCUAUCAAUAAAAAGUUGUUAAAAAAAAAAUUUGCUUAAAUGAGUCAUGAAAGAAUAAGAUUUUCAUUUAGUAUUGCUGAUCCCUCUUAGGAAACUGGUUAUAGUUCCAGAAGACCACUGGAAGAAUCAAUGGCCCAGGAGUACCCAGAAAAUAUUGUAUUUCUUUAAAAUAGUUCCUCCAUAGAUAUAGGCAAAAACCUGAAAUAUUACUUUACCAAAUCUAAUGCCAACAUAGUGUAGUUUAGGCCUUUAGUUUAAGUCUUUUUGUUGGAAUGGUGAAUGGACCAACUGAUGAGCACAGGGUCAGGAAGUAGAUGUUUGGUGUGCUUUCCUCACCCCUGCCCCCUCCCCAAGCCUAUAUUGAAUCUGUGCACCAAAUUAUUCCCCUAGUUAUAUAACCACAGCAACCACAGCUUACCUAGAUAACAAUGGAAAAGAACAUCUUUGCCCCAAGUGGUACCCUUUAUCCUCCUCCAUCAACCCAUCAAAUUCAAACUGAUUUGAAGAUUUCAUGUUUAGAAUAAAAAGUCAAAAUCACUUUUACUUGGGGGGAAAAAAUCCAGAUUUGACUCAAAGCUCUGCUUAAGGCUUCCUAUUGUAAAAGAAAAAAAAAAAAAAAAAAAAAACAAAGCGAUAAAUUGCUUGCCUCUUCUUUGUGCAGAGUACCUUUCCAAAGACAAGAUCUGGGAUUCUAAAAAUCGCCUGCUCUUCAACAAGUACAGGAAACAGUUUUCUGGGCCCACUAACACCAGGCUUAUAAAUACCUACUUCAAAGUUGCAGUUAUACAAAUAAAAAGCUGUACCCCUUUAUGGGGUACCUCAGACUGAUAAAGCACAGGGAACCCCAGAUCCUGACUGGAGAUGUAAGCUGGGGCCAGCAAUCCUUAACACCUUCCAGGAUCCGAUGGGUUGUCACUUUAUGUUCCUAGAAGAAAAAAACUCUUUUCCAGAGAAUAAUGCACCCAUUUAAAGAAGGAAAAACAAACAUCUUUCAAAGGAAGUGGUGCCAAUCCUGUUUUAAAAAUAAAAUCUAAUGGCCACAUGAUGGCAGUAGAUGCAACUUACUAGCAUGACAGCAGUGAUGACAUUAACAUAGGGUCUUAUCCAAAGGCAAGAACUAUAUGGAACAUAAAGCCAUUAAAAUAAUUUGAAAACCAGGCAAAAUAUCUGUCCCCAAUCAAAGGAAAAAAAUUAUUUUAGAGUCUUCAGAAACAAAUUAUUUGACUAUUACAGACCUAGGGAGAAAUGACAUUAAUGUUAAUUUAAAAUGACUUGGAAAUAGGUUUGAAAAAAUUUUGGUUGAAAUAUUACAUUGAAAAGUUAUUCACACACUGCAGUCUUCAUAAUGAGUAACUUAUUCCCACGAUGUUUCACCUUCACUUAGACUUUUAAGUGAGGCGAAAAUUCAUCAAAAUGGUUGCUACAUCUAUAAUAGUAAUCAGUAACACUGAGCUUCUUCCAUAUGUCAACUAUUUUAAUGAGACUAAUGAGACCUAGAAAUGCAGGAUAGGUCCAAACAAGUAACUUUCAAGUCACUAAAUCUCAGGUUCAAAAUAUAUUGGCAGCAAAUUGGUCUAACCUUGCACCUAUAACAGUCAUCUAUACUAUGCCUGAAAAUCUCUAAUGAGAAUAAAUCCACUACCUCCCUCAAAAGCCUAUUGCAACUCUGUUAGAAACUUUUUCUUUAUAUCAAGUCUGAAUCUGCUUCUCUGAAAUUUCUGCUCACUGUUCCUGUUUCUAACGACCUCUGGAUCUCAACAGAACAAACCUAAUUCCUCUUCCCUAUGAAAACUCCUUAUAAUAUCUGAAGAACUGAUUAUAUCUCUUCUCUAAUGCCAGAAUCUUUAUUUCUUUGGGCUAUUUAUCCCCACUUCUUUCAUCUUAUCCUAUUCUGGACAUGCUUCAGUUUGUCAAUGUCUUUCCUAAAAUGCAACACUCUAUUCUCUAGUUAUUGUUUGACCAGGAAAUAUUAUAGCAAAAAAGAAUAAAUCUCUCUUCUAAUUCUGAAAUUCCCUUAAGUUUCCUACAACCUCAGAAUCAGACAGUUCUAUUAAUGGAACAUUAGAACUCUGGUGCUUAUUAUAAUUAAAAUAUUAACAAUAGUUCCUAAAAGAUAGUUUUUGGCAUCACACUUGCUAGUUAACAACUAUCAAACCUAGAUGUUUUUGAACAAUUCUGAAGAGUAAAAUAUACUUAAAUUCUCAAAAAAAAAA
Long non-coding RNA from Antechinus flavipes (yellow-footed antechinus), 2776 nucleotides. RefSeq lists it as uncharacterized. NCBI's taxonomy places the organism in Eukaryota, Metazoa, Chordata, Mammalia, Dasyuromorphia, Dasyuridae. The record is from RefSeq and is a predicted model, not a curated record. The transcript is spliced from 2 exons.